GAGGGUAUAGUUAAUUUAUAACAUUUGAUUUGCAUUCAAAAAUUGAAGUCGUUCUACUCUUU
Molecule: transfer RNA, 62 nt
Filed under: Lynceus grossipedia
Lineage: Eukaryota; Metazoa; Arthropoda; Branchiopoda; Diplostraca; Lynceidae
Description: tRNA-Ala
Rfam family: tRNA
About the family: Transfer RNA (tRNA) molecules are approximately 80 nucleotides in length. Their secondary structure includes four short double-helical elements and three loops (D, anti-codon, and T loops).
Source: RNAcentral